Molecule: long non-coding RNA, 17683 nt
Filed under: Sorghum bicolor (sorghum)
Lineage: Eukaryota; Viridiplantae; Streptophyta; Magnoliopsida; Poales; Poaceae
Description: long non-coding RNA (SBIC_LNC012135)
Source: RNAcentral
UAGGAACAGAUAAACAACAGCUCAACCUUCCCAUAUCGUAUCCGUUAACAACUUAGACUUCAGAUCAAGUUUUCAUCCCACAAGUUUAGGUCUAGAGCAAGCCUUAAAUUAUAACAGUUAUAUCUAAACUUGAGAGAGAACUUCAAAUUUGCAAAUUAGGCAGAGCAACUAUUCAUCAUAUCCAUGCUUAAGUUUUAUUAGAUACAGAUUAGCAUAGCCACUUUAUUUAUUUAUUAAACACACUAAGCAAAAUAUAUAUAAGUAUAAAAUCUUUAUUUGGUUUUUCAUAGUUAUGUGUAUUUAUAUUCUAAUAUAGUAUAAGUAUAAAGAUAGAUAGAAAUACUUAUCGAGAUAAAUGGGGGUGCUUUCCCCCAAGCUGAAUUUUGACGUAAUUUCUCUUGAUGUAGCUAGCAGGUGGCAGAGGUGUGUUUGAAAGUCAGGAGUAUUUUGACAGCGAUUAGAAUGUCCUCUGUCUGCUAGUCUUCUUGAUUCUUAAAUUCUGUGGAGCUCAAAUAGACAACAAAGCUUGUGGAACUGAUUAAGUGUUAGCAUAAAUAUUUAGCCUUUAUCAUCUUGAGACUCCUUAAUAAUUAUUACUCCCUGUUUUUUAUAUUUUCAUUUUAUAAAGCAGAAAAAUAUUUAUUUUAUUUUUAUGCCACCACAGUGAAUGUACUUAUGGGUUUUAUGCCACUCGUAUACUCACAUGGGGCUUACUGUUUUUCACAUUUUUAUUUUCUUUUAUUUUUAAGAUAGUAUGAAUAUGAUUAACUAAGUAAACUAUCUAAAAUAAUUGAAAGGGAAAUGAUAACUACCAAGUUUACCUCUUGGCAAGGCGUUCGGUAUUUUUAAGUCCUCCGAACGGGACUCUCCGUUUUCGUAGUCGUCCUGGGAUUUGCUGGGUGGCGUAGUCGGUGGUUCCGGCGGCGCCUCCUCUUCGUGUAUAACUAUCUUCUCUUUCCAUACCUGACUCGGUGCUACGGUCUCCUCAGGACAGUUCUGUUCAAGUUGUAUGUCUUCAGUCCUUAUCACUUCUCCUUCGUAGUCUACCCAUCCGUCCUUGAUGAUUUGCCUCCUCUGGUUGCGGUUGCGUUGUCUUCUUCUUGUCCUGACCUGCUUAGAAUCUUCAACUAUAUAGUUAGAAUCAUUAAAGUAGUGGCGUACCUUCUCAGAGGAGAAGUGCAUGUGGACUUCUCUGGUUCCAGUAUAGAUAAUGACUUUGAUAGUGCUGAGGAACGGUCUUCCAAGGAUGGUGGAUGGAUCAUACUUGUCUUCUCCCAUGUCAAUGACCUGAAAAUUUUCUGGGGCUGAAUGUAUGCUGGUUGUAGGAGCAUGGUUCCAUGCAGGAGCUGAUAAGUGACUGCGGCCAUUAUGUUGACAUCAGAUCCGGUGUCGUAGAGUGUCUUCUAAAAAGAGUAUCCAUUGAUUGUGCACUCAAUGUUUGGAACACCAGGGUCGUCCUUCUUGAUCAAGAAAGGUGACUUGAGUCGACGAUCUUGACCUCUUUGAACUGCAGUGACCAUCUUAGCUGACUCAGUCCACAUUUGCUUGUUCCUGUUCCUCCUGUUGGUCCUCUUCCUUGGUUUACGUCUGGAUUGAUCUUGAAUUUGUGUAGUCUUGUUCUUGAAGAAAUGUCUCCUUCUUCCCUUUGACGUAGAAACUGAUCUUGGCAGUACUAGCGUAGAUGAUAGCUCUUGUGUUUAGGAAUGACCUCCCUAAGAUGAUGGGUGCCCUCUCCUCAGUACCAAUCUCUAUUACCACGAAGUUUGCUGGAGCGUACAAGGUACCAACUCGGAUACAGAGGUUCUUCAAUAUUUCCUUUGGGAAACUAAGUGUCUGAUCUCCAUUGUGUUUGUGCUCGUAGAUCCCGGUUCUUCACUUGAUGGAAUCUGGGAGUUGUAAAACUCCUCCAUGUUUUGCUUGAAGUGUACCUAUUCAUAAAGACAAGGCAGAGAUCAAGUGCAUGGGCCCUGUUGGUGGAAAACACCAACAGAACCAAAAGUGUAUUUGUUCUUCUCCAACCUUAAGCAUAGUGAGCAAGACAAAGUUGUUGGAUCGUAGCAUUUAAAACAUGUGUUAGAUCAGAUGGCUCAACCUAAUGGAAAGAUAAUCUAUCUAUAUUUAUGUUUUGUUUAUAUCUUCCAAAGAUUGAAUGUGCAACAUAUUAGCUUAUAUGAUUGAGGACUAAGAACAAAGAUUAAAGGACUAAACAUGCUGAAUCAGUUAGGUUAAUUUAGAGUUAUAAAUCAUACAUGUUUGUCUCUUUAUUUAUGUGAAUGCCAGAACCAAGGCGAAGCUUAUAAAAGCGAUAGUCAAGUACUUUAAGAUGUUAUUGAAGAGUGAUGGUAUAGUAUCACCUUGUGGAAGCUUUCCUUUCUUAGUGGUUGUGCAUCGUGUUUGUGGCACCCUCCAUGAAUCAUCUCUUAUGAGCUACGUCUUUCUUGUGCAGAUUGUUAAACUUCAUGUGUCACUUUCUUCAUCUCAAAUGCGACUUUAUCUCAGGACUUCCCUGGUUGAUAUUGAAAGUUCUCCUGCAGGGGUUAGUCCCACAAAAUAUACCAAUAUCUACUCAAGCAGUUUUUAGUUCAGUAACCAAACUAGACUCCAUGUCUAAUCACAUUAAGGAAGGCUGUUUAACCUAAGCACCAUGCUUAAUUUAAAAGCCAAUGGAAGUAUGUCGAGUACUUCCAAACCUACACUUACUAGGAUAAACAAAGGUAGCAUGAUGGCAUUUAUAGAGAUCUACUCAAGUGGAGAUGAAGUAGUGUGAUUAGUAUUUAACAAAUUGAGCAUGUCUCAAAGGUAAGGACAACCAACAUAGCAACAUGGCAAAGGAUGUUUUUAUGUAAAGUACUCCCCCAAGCUUGAAUUUUACAAAAUUCAAGUUUGGAUGAAUUUAAUUCAAUGUUGUGUGAUGGUUGGUUGGACAUACCUUGUACUUGUCAUUCAUCCGAUCUUCUUGCUCCAAUCCUGGAAAGGUUAGUGACAAGAAUACCCGAAGGAAUAUUUCUACAAUUAUCUUUAUAUGCUCAAUACACAAGGCAAUGUUGCAAAUAAUUAGAAGUGCUUGUUUUAGGACACUAAGCUUGUCCUUGGGAAACCAUCAAUUAACUCAACGAGAUCUGCAAUAUUUAUUAUAGACAUAUGCAUCGACAACCGCUCUUUUAAAGUUUUUAUAAAUAAAAAAGAAGAGAGGGUUGGAGAUCUCAAAUGUGAUAAGGAUGGAGAGACUAAUUGAUUGGAGAGAUGUUUUAUAUGAGCAAGGACUGGGUAAGGUAUUUAAGAAAUAACUUCCAUACCCACUGUUGUUACUCUCAUUAUCAAACUCCAAGGAUGAUUCUUCGUGAAUGCUUAAAAUUCCUCUAGGAUUGUCUCUCAAGUUUGUUUUAUCUAUCCAUUCAAUGGUGAUAGCACAUGGAUUUUUAAUGCCCUCUAGCCAUCGAUGUUGCUCUUCUCGAUCCUCCUUCUUAUGCAUGGGAUGUCUAGAGAGAUUCAUAGGAUUAUCGGGAGGUUCAAGAGAAAGAGCAUAGUAGAAUUUAUUAAACUCUAGGAUGGGUUGGAUAGCCGAAUUAUGGGAUUGAAAUGUUUGAAAAUCGGUUAUUGAAACUUCCUCUCCUCGUCUGGGAGAUGAUUCCUUCUCUAUUUCUAAGAUUUUUCUAUGAAGACUAGUACAAGAAGGAUGUCCACAAAUGAAGACAUACCUUCCUUUACUAAUAGAUAAAGAACGAAGGACUCUACCAAAGGUUAUAUGAUUAAGACCAAUAUGAAAAUAUCGAGAAAAAACAUGGUCUUGUAGGGCUAGGUCUAAACCAGAGUUUAUAGUAAGAUUAACAUAUUCCCUAGGUGUAGCUAAAAGUGCAUUAUCUUUUUGAUUAAAAGAUAGGACCUCGGCUAUAGAAAAGGGUUGGUUUUGACCUAUUGCAAUCAACUCCGGACACAGAUCAUAAUUAGGGGCAGGACGUGUUGACUCCCAUGGUCUAUGGCUGGUCUCCGAAGGUGCAAAGAAUUCAAUAAUAGGUAUGGAAUUUAAGUUAUCCAUAAAAAUAAAAAGAUAAAAAAGUAUAAAAGUAUAAUACAAGAUAAUAGCAAGACUCAAAGUUAUCUCAGCAAACCGUCUUUCUCCCCGGCAACGGCGCCAGAAAUGCUUGUUGAUAUUUGGUAACGCAAUUAGAAAAUGAUCCGCAAGCGCACGGAUAUCGGUGAGCAUUUCACCCGGGAGGAUUUCCAGAGUAUCGUAUUUAUAUUUUUACCACUGGGAGAAAGGGUGCAUCUGACUAACCAAAUCUAUUGCUACUAUCCCUUUAGGCUACAAAGAAUGUCUCUCGAUGUGAGUGAUGUAUAGAGAUGACUGCAACCGUAGUCUCGUUCUAACCUUGGUAAGGAUGAUCUACUGUUUUAUUGGAGAGGCUCACGGAAUCUAGACAACUCAAAGGAUGUUCGACCCGCACCUAUAAACCUACCCGUCCUGCUAACGAGAUGUGAUCUGCAAAGGUAACUCGGAAUUGCCAUGUUCCUCGCUACUACCACGGUCCAGCUAGUCAGGGGAUAUCUAUGAGUACCCUAGCCUAAACACCACGUUUACGCUAACAAGUGAUUACUCUAAUACUCAACCGUAAGAGGAUUAAAGUAAACUCAUAAACCAAAGAACAAUAAAACAAGAACUUACUAGUAAUUAGAAGUCGAAUUACUGAAGAAUCUUAGAAGCAAGCCUCGGGUUAGGAGACUUGAUCCCGUAGGUAUAAAUCGGAGUAGACACCGAUAGGCCGGCCUUCCUCCGAUCCACACCUCCACUCUAUCUCUCUCAAUCUAGUAGAAACUAGAAGAUCUAUUUCUACUUUACAUUGGUUGCUAAGCCUAAAAAGAAAUAUUAUUUAGAGAAGAGGUUUUCCUUCGAGGGCACCCCUCAAUCUCUAUGAUAAUUCCUUGUCUUCUCCAGGGGCCAGAGGGGGUCUCCUUAUAUAGUCCUCCCCUUCUAUGCGUUUUUGGGUCGAUAGGCGAGGUGGUACUAUGUUAUUCUGGAUCCAAUAGGUCGGUGGAAUGUCGUGUACGAAGAGAGUCCGGAACAGAGUCCAGAGGGGGGCGGGCGCCCAGGUCCUCAGGGCGGGCGCCCUGGGCCUAGCCCCUUUCGGGCUCCGCUUCCUUCCCGUGGCUUCUGGAGUCUUCUAGAUGAUAGGAAAUUGCGCGGUGGGUUGAUAUCUCUAUGUAAUCCCGACAUGUGGGCCUUUCUUCCUUAUUUCCUGAUAACCCCCUGCAGAAAUAGACAAACACCAAAACUCGUAGAAUUCUGUCAGAUAAAACCCUAAGUCUAGAUGUUGAUUUCAUUUGGAUCCUUUUCUUUAUUUAUUUGAUAAUUAAAUUUGAUACUUAAGGACCGUCAACAAGUACUAGGCUUGGAGUCAACCAGUCAAUGCUGUCCCUGUGUGGAGCUUCCGUCGAGAGCGUUGUUUACUUUAUGUUAUCAUCUUUGUAAGAGACUAUGUGAUAUUUUAUAUUCCGCUAUGUAAUAAACACUACAAUGGUACAUUUGAGAUUUGUCUACUUAUGUGUGCGACUGUUUUUUGGGGCACAUAUGAGUCUUUUAUGCAUCCUAUUUUGUUCUUAAAAUAUGGGUGUGACAAGAAAUCAAGGAUUAGAUAAGAAGAAAGAAUAGCAGAGAUAAGGCAAAAGAUAAAAGGAAAAGUAUAUAUAUAUUUUUUUAUUUUUUAGAAAAUGAUUGAGCUAGUUCGUAGUCAACUCAGCAACCGUCUCCCCAGCAACGGCGCCAAAAAUGCUUGUUGACACUUGCUAACACCACUUGAAUACUAGGUUGUUAUCCCCAACAUGACACUAGAGUGUACUAUGGUAUUUAUACGCACACAGAUAAAUCCGCAAGUGCACGGAUACCGUUGUAGCUUUUACCCAGUUAAAGGUUUCAUCGUAUCCACAGGGAAACAGGAGAACCAACUACGCUCUAACUUAACCAAGAUAGAUAGAUGAGUGUAAAUAGGAAAGAUGGUAGAAUUGAAUAAGAACAAUAUUAAAGGUAAGAUAACAAUGGGUGAUAAUAUGGGAAUAGAGAGUAGAGCAAUCUAAUAUAUGGGCGAUGGUAGCAGAAUAGAGAGGAUAACUAUGGUUUCUCUACUUUAAAGGGGUAUGUCUAUGUCUAGGACGAACCACGUGAUAAGAAUACACCACAAAGGAUGCUUCUCCAUAGGCCGAUAAACCCUACCCGUCGUACUAACAAGAGGUGGACUACAGGGGACCAACGUAACUAUCACCUACGCGGCCUACCACACGAUCCAGCUAGACAGUGGAUAUUCACAAGUACUCUAGGUCUAAGCACCACGCUUACACCUAUACUACAACUCUAACCUAUAGGGUCCUAUAGAUUAGAAGUACUCAAAAGAGUUGUGAACCAGAACAUACAUGAUUAGUAAUUGCAUAAUGAAUUAGAAGUAGAUUACUAGAGUCAUCCCAUGAGCAAGCUUGAUUAGAGCUUGAUCAUGGUGAAGUACAACCGGAGGAAGAAUCGACAGGCCGGCCUCUCCUCCAAUCCUCCCUCGCUCUCCAUCUCGCUACUAUCUAGAUCUACUCUAGUUUAGAGAAGAGAGGAGAGCUCUCAUCUCUAAACCCUAGCUUUUGCUCUGUCUAUGAAUAAUGAAUAUGGAUCAAGGGGUUGCCUCCUCUUGGGGCCAGGGGGUCUGCUUAUAUAGGCCCCUCAAGUGAAUCUGGGCCGUCGGAUCAAACCGACAUUGAUUGAAUGGUUAUUCUUGAUCCUUUAGGUCGGUGGAGCGUAAUCCCCGAAGAGAGUCCUGAUUGGACUCUGGGACAGGGCGGGCGCCCAUGGGGGGAGGGCGGGCGCCCUGCCCCCGAGCCCGCUUGGCCUCCCGUUUGUUCCCGUGGCUUCUGGAGUCUUCUAGAUGAUAGAAAAUUGCGUGGCACGUUCAUAUCUCUAUGUAAACCCGACAUGUGGGCCUUUCCUCCAUAUUUCCUGAUAACCCCCUGCAGAAAUAGACAAACACCAAAACUCAUGGAAUUCUGUCAGAUAAAACCCUAAGUUUAGGUGUUGGCUGUAUUUGGAUCCUUUUCUUUGUUUAUUUGCAUUGAGAGUUGCAUCUAGUGGCACUUGAUCCUUGAGUUUGUUGUGGAUUUCUUGUUACUCUUGGGUGUUUCUCGACACCCUACAUGGCUUGGAGCAGUGGAGGUGUUGAGCUUGUGACUGGAGAUUGUUUCGAGCCUCACGAAGUGAUUUGUGAGGGGUUCUUGAGCCUUUUUUGCUGGAGAUCACAAUUGGAAACUUGUUAACUUACAAAAUUUGUUAGCAUUUAUUUCUCAACCAGAUAUCAAUAUAUACUAGAAUAGGGUUAUCACUGACAAUUUCCAUGAGUUUUUCAUAUUUUGUGUUUUCUAGGGAUAAUUUCAAAAAGAGCUGAAAAGAGGGAUUUAAGUGCUAAUUGGCCACGAAACGUAUCCGUGAUGGAAGGAUGACACCAGAGGAAUCAGGAACACCCUAGAAGACACCCGACGCAACGGGGGAGCCAGUAGCCGCGAGGUGGGGUCGGCCGGCCACACCCUAGCGCCGGCCGGCCCCCUAUGGUUAGGGUUUGCUCCCCCCUUCCCGAAGCUUCCUCCACCGCCUUUGAGGAGCCAUCUCGUCUGAUUGUUAAAUCGGUUUGAUCCAACGGCAUGUGUCCAUCUCAAUAGGCUAUAAAUAGAAGGCUAGACCCCCCUGGAGGAGGCCACUGUUGACGGUCCUUAAGUAUCAAAUUUAAUUAUCAAAUAAACAAAGAAAAGGAUCCAAAUGAAAUCAACAUCUAGACUUAGGGUUUUAUCUGACAGAAUUCCACGAGUUUUGGUGUUUGUCUAUUUCUGCAGGGGGUUAUCAGGAAAUAAGGAAGAAAGGUCCACAUGUUAGGAUUACAUAGAGAUAUCAACGCACCGCGCAAUUUUCUACCAUCUAGAAGACUCCAGAAGCCACGAGACCGAAGCGGAGGCGAAACGGGGCCAGGCCCAGGGCGCCCGCCCUGGUGACCUGGGCGCCCGCCCCCUGUUGGAACCAGAUCAGGACUCUCUUCGCUCGGGAUGUUCCACCGACCUAUUGGGUCAAGGAAAACAUAGUACCACCUCGCCUAUCGACCCAAAAACGCAUAGAAGGGGAGGACUAUAUAAGGAGACCCCCAUGGCCCCUGGAGAAGACAUGAAGAAAUUAUCAUAGAGAUUGAGGGGUGCCCUCGAAGGAAAACCUCUUCUCUAAUUAAUAUUUCUUUUUAGAUUGAGAGAGAUAGAGUGGAGGUGAAGACUGGAGGAAGCCCGGCCUGUCGGUGUCUACUCCAAGCUUGUACCUGCGGGAUCAAGUUCUCCUAACCCGAAGCUUGCUCCUAGGAUUCUUCAGUAUUUCGACUUCUAAAUUCUAGUAAGUUCUUGUUUUAUUGUUCUUAUGGUUUAUGAGUUUACUUUAAUCUCUUCGCGUAGAGUUUAGAGUAAUCAUUGCUGGCGUAAACGUGGUGUUUAUGCUGGGGUACUCAUAGAUAUUCCCUGACUAGCUGGACCGUGGUAGUAGUGAGGAACGUGACAAUUCCGAGUUACCUUUGCAGAUCACAUCUCGUUAGCAGGAAGGAUAGGGUUUAUAGGUACGGGUUGAACAUCCUUUGUGGUGUCUAGAUUCCGUUAGCCUCCCCAUUAGAACAGUAGAUCAUCCUUACCAAGGUUAGAAGGAGACUACGGUUGCAGUCUUCUCUAUUUAUCACUCACAUCGAGAGACAUUCUUUGUAGCCUAAAGGGAUAGUAGCAAUAGAUUUGGUUAGUCAGAUGCACCCUUUCUCCCAGUGGUAAAAAUAUAAAUACGAUAACUUUGGAUAAUCUCCCGGGUGAAAUGCUCACCGAUAUCCGUGCGCUUGCGGAUCAUUUCCUUAUUGCGUUACCAAAUAUCAACAGCCACAUUAAGAGAUGAAGAGUCAGAGCAUUAGAUACACAUCCACUAGAUCUAGGCUAGCAAUCAAGAUAGAGAUUAGAGAGAUAGAGUAGAGAAGUAGCGAUUCAGAGGAGUCCCGGCCUGUCGGAGCUUCCUUAGGAGCUGUAUUCGUUUAGAUUUGGCUCCCUCGCCCGGAGCUACGUUCUGAGGUACUUCUGUAUUUACCCUUUCUGAUUCAAGUAUGCAACUUGUUUGUAUUCGUUCUUUGGUUUGCAACUCAUAUUAUAUUGAGUACUACAAUUUGGGUAGCUCCUAGGUCGGAGUAGUGAUUCGUAGCGUAGACGUGGUGUCUAGGCUAUGGUUGCUUGUGAAUGUCUCCUGAUCAGCCGGAGAGUGGUAGUUCGCGUAGGUAACUUUAUAGCUGCGUUGAUUCCUCUGUGUUGGGUAUUUUAAACGCAAACAGAAAAAAUCCGCAAGCGAACAGAUACCGAUGUAGCCUUCACCCAGGAGUAUUUCAGAGUAUCGAUUUUCCACAGGGAACGUGAGUGUACUAAUCAAGAAUCAAGAUCGCCCAAGGAUAACUAUAUAAUUAUUUUUGGUGGGAAGAGAGGAAGUUUCCUGAGAGUUGUCUAGUUGAUCUAAGAAUCAAAAAUUACUUCAAGAUUAUCUAUAUCGGGACAUCAGAGCACUAACCAGAGAAAGAGAUGAGAAGGGGGCUAGGAAGGUCUGACUACGGUCCUACAAACACCGAUCCGAGGUGGAAUACGUCGACCGUUAGGGCUGUCACUACCCUAAGGCUACCACAACAAUCCGCAGGAUUGGGUGCAAUUCUAGGUAAUUGCAAGACUAAACACCACGUCUAAUCUAUUAAUUACUACUCUAGCGUUAUAAAGACUAGAGCACUUGAUGCAAGUGGGAAUCCAAUAAAUAACUUGAAUGUAAAUAAAAGUAAUUAAAGAACUCAGGAAUUAUGAAUUGAAGAACCUGGAGAACGAUGAAGAACGAACCAGUUGCUGCAAAAGUAUAAUGUUGAGGAAGAUCCGACAGAUCCGGCUCCUCCUCCGCUCUCCUCUUCGCUCUCCCUAUUUUCUAGAUUACAACUAGAACUAACUAGAACUAGAACUAGUGGAACUAGAACUAGAACUAGAUGAACUAGAAUUAGAUCUAGAUGAACUAGAGGUAGAACUAAAAGAACUAGAGGGAUCCUCUCUACUUGGAUGAAGAAUUGAAACCCUAACUUUGAUUCUGUAGAAGAGGUAUGAUCUCCAGGGGCUAGGGAGGUCUGGUUUUAUAGUCCCUUCCAGUGAAUCUGGGCCGUCGGAUCAAACCGACAUUGAUCGCAUGAUUUUCCUUGAUCCUUUAGGUCGGUGGAGCAUAAUCCGCGAAACGUGUCCUGAUUGGGCACUGUAGCUGGGCGGGCGCCGAGGGGAGUUGGGCGGGCGCCCAGCCUCCGAGCCCGAUUUCCUUCCCGUUCGUUCCCGUGGCUUCUGGAGUCUUCUAGAUGAUAGAAAAUUGCGUGACAUGUUAAUAUCUCUAUGUAAACCCGACGUGUGGGCCUUUCUUCCGUAUUUCCUGAUAACCCCCUGCAGAAAUAGACAAACACCAAAACUCAUGGAAUUCUGUCAGAUAAAACCCUAAGUCUAGGUGUUGGUUCCAUUUGGAUCCUUUUCUAUGAUUAGUUGAUGGUUAAUUGUGAGCAUUAAGGACCGUCAACAAGCUCCCCCAAGCUUAACCUUUGAUCGUCCCUGAGCAAAGAUGAACUCAAGAGUUUCUGCAGUGGUUUCAUAACUUAAAGAUACACAUGCGUUUAAACAGGAUCUCAUCUCUGGUUAGAGUAAACUGUUAAGACUUAAAACUUACUCAUUUACCUUUCACCAUGGGACUUGUAACCGUCACUUCUGUCUUGAGUAGUUAAAAGAUAGAACAGUCUAGUCAAGCACCAUGUCUCUUGUUCUUCGAUUAACUAUAGCUCUGGAGUUUUUACAGAUUUUCAAAUAAAACUCAGAGAUUCCUUGUAUGACUCUCUAGUCUCUCUUUUGUGGUAUUUCUGGAUCCUUACCAAGGCAGUAAUGGUGUAUGCCUUCUCUCAAAGUAUGUGGUAUUUUUGGUAUGAGGCAUAGUGGUAUUGCCUUCUCUCUCACCCUACUCUAAUAAGGUUUUGAUAUCUGGAGCUCAUAGGUAGGAGACAACUAAUACAUACUUACAAAACAUUUAUUGCAUAGUCAAACCAUGGAUCCAGAAGAACAAGUCAAUAAGUCAAAUCAAGAUGUGCAUGUGUGGUGAAUGAAUGGUGUAUGGUGAUGAUGGUGAUAACAAUGGUGAAAGUCUAAUUAUACUUAUGCUCUUUUGAGGGGAUACAUACCUUUCUUGCUCUUUUGAAACUUUUUGAGGAGAAUGAGAUGCUCUAUGUUUUAUUUUUCUUGCACGUGGGUAUCUUGUACCCCUAAUUCUACUGUCGGACACUUGUCCAUUUUUACCUCUCGUCUCACUUUUUCUUUCUUUCGAGGUUCCGGGCACUUGCCCCUUUUUAUUUCCUCAUAUACUUUUUUUUCUUUUCUUUUUUUUCUUUUUUUAGAGCACUCAUCUCAUGAGAUAAUAUAGCAAGUGGUAGUAACAAGAUAACUUGAGCAUUUAUUUCACAAGGGAAAACAGAAAUGUUUUUGGCUAUUCUCUCCCUAAUUAGGAGUAGAAUAUUUUUAGGUGAUUCUGGAGAUGGAAAUGGCUGGAUAUAUGUGGAUGCGUACUUCCAGAGUAGAAGCAGCAUGUGUGAGUGAACGUGCAAGUGAAUCUUGACUUAACCACAUGACAAGCUCCUAAGGGUCUACACAGCUUGACCACACUCAAUGCUCAUAAGCAGUAAAAAGUAAAUGUAUGGUUCAUAGUCUAACAAGCAUGUAUAUAUGGCUGUGGUAGGAAUUUAAACUCUCAUCAUACAGGAACUCAUCAUGCAUUUUAAAGAUUUUCAAAGAUAAAAUUCUCCAGAAUUCUAGCAUCUCUAGGAACAGAUAAAUGUUGGGUAUUCUUAACAUCAUUACUAAAAGUAGACUAAGUUCUAAAUCUAGCAACGGUGCCAAAAAUGCCAAACCUAUCCCUCACACCACUUAAGCCAAGUUGUCAUCCCCAGCAUGAUAUGAGAGACGCGGUAUUGAAAUAUGCAAUUGCUCUUCUAAAUAAAUAAUGAAUGGGAUCUGCAAGCGCACAGAUUAAUACCGAUGUAGCAUUUUAACCGGGAAGUAUUCCAGGUAUCGUUAUUUAUAUUUUUACCACUGGGAAGGGAUUAGCAAUCAUCACUAUUGAUUACAGAAUAGAAUAUGAGAUUGAGCAUCUAUCAUUGCAUGUAUAAUUGAGAACAUUAUAUCUAACUCAUCAUACAGGGAUAAAUGUCACAUAAAAGAUAUAUGAAAUAAUAAUAGUGACAAGGAUAACUAAUCUGAUCUAGCCACAUAAUAAAUAUGAUAAGCACCUCAAUUAGAUACUCUAGAAAGUCAUUAGCAUGGUAUUAGAACGAACUACAAGAAUAUUCCCUAAGUUAUUCUCAACUAUAUAGUCUAGCAUUAUCAUAGUUAGAGCAAGCAUACUUAGCAAUCAUUGUGAGACAAGACUACGCCCAUGCAUAGUGAUAUUAGCAAGGAAUAUGAGAAACAUAGCAAUCACUCCCCUGUAAUAAUGUUGCUCUGCCAGCCCAAUACACGAGAGGGGGACUAUAUAAGAAUCAAUGAAGCUGUCACUAUCACGAACCACCCCACGAUCUGGCAUAUUGGGUACAAUCGCAGAUAAAUACGGUAUAAGCACCACGCCUACACAAUAUCUAUCAGUUACCCAUGGAUCCGAUGGAUAAACGCUAUACGAUCCUAAGCAUGUAUAUAGAUCGUAUCUAACUAAGCCAAGUACAUAACUAUGAUAAACUAAGAACAAUAUAAUCUUGAAUAUAAGCAAGUAGAGCAAAGUCAUAAGCAAUAUAUUGAAGUAGAACAAAGUCAUAUUCAUAAUAUUGAAGAACAAAGAUAAUUAGAAAGCAAUUAGAAGCACAAUUAGAAGAUUACCAAGAAUCCUCCUGACAGAUCCGGAAACCAAUCGAAGAUUGACUCCUUCUAGUUCUAAUCCUAUGUAGCUAUGCUAAUCUAGAUGUCUAAUUGAUGUGGUGGCUCUAAUCUUGAUCAGAGGCUUCUUCUCCCUUGAUGGAACAAUGAAUUAGGGUUGAGAGGCUCUCUCCUCCAGGGGCCAGGGGGUCUGGUUUUAUAGUCCCUCCAAGUGAAUAUGGGCCCUUGGAUCAAACCGACAUAGAUUGUAUGGUUUAGAUUCAUCCUUUAGGUCGGUGGAGAUCUCCCGCAAAGCAGAGUCCUGAUUGGACUCAGGAGGUGGGCGGGCGCCCUGACCAACUGGGCGGCCGCCCAGGGUCUGGCCCCGUUUCGCCUCCGCUUCGGUCCCGUGGCUUCUGGAGUCUUCUAGAUGUAAGAUAAUUGCGCAGCACAUUAAUACCUUUACGUAAUCCUGACAUGUGGGUCUUUCUUCCGUAUUUCCUGAUAACCCCCUACAGAAAUAGACAAACACCAAAACUCGUGGAAUUCUGUCAGAUAAAACCCUAAGUCUAGAUCUUGAUUUCAUUUGGAUCCUUUUCUUUAUUUAUUUAAUAAUUAAAUUUGAUACUUAAGGACCGUCAACAAACUCCCCCAAGCUUACCUCUUGCUUGUCCCUGAGCAAGGAUAGACUCAGCUAUGGAUCAGAAGUAGUUGCAAUAUCUUUAAAAAUUUGACGGUACACAUGCUUUUAAAUAAGAUCUCAUCUCUAAGUUAGAGUAAACUGUCAAGACUUAAAACUUACUUACUUUACCUUCACCAUGGGACUUGUAACUGUCACUUCUGUCUUGAGUGGUUAAAAGAUAGAACAGUGUAGCCAAGUGCCAUGUCUCUUAUUCUUGAUCAGCUAUAGCUCUGGGAUUUUUGCAGAUUUUCAAAUAAAACUCAGAGAUUCCUUGUAUGAUUCUCUCAGGUCUCUCUUUUGUGGUAUUUUUGGAUCCUUACCAAGGCAUUGAUGGUAUAUACCUUCUCUCAAGAUAUGUGGUAUUUGUGGUAUGAGGCAUAGUGAUAUUGCCUUCUCUCUCACCCUACUCUACUAAGGCUUUAAUAUCUUGAGCUCAUAGGUGGGAGAUAAAGUAUACAUACUUACAAGACAUUUAUUGCAUAGUCAAACCACGGAUCAAAAAUAACAAGUCAAUAAGUUUAAUCAAGAUGUGCAUGUGUGGCGAAUGAAUGGUAUAUGGUGAUGAUGGUGAUAACAAUGGUGAAAACAAUGGUGGUGGAAGUCUAAUUCUACUUUUGCUCUUUUGAGGGGAUACAUACCUUCCUUGCUUUUGAAACUUUAUGAUGAGAAUGAGAUGCUCUUCUUUUUCUUGUCUCUCAGGUGGGUAUCUUGCACCCCUAAUUCUACUGUCGGACACUUGUCCAUUUUUACCUCUCGUCUCACUUUUUUUUCUUUUUGAGGUUCUGAGCACUUGCUCCUUUUUAUUUCCUCGUAUUAUUCCUUUUCUCUCUUUUUUUUAGAGCACUCAUCUCUUGAGAUAAUAUAGCAAGUGGUAGUAACAAGAUAACUUGAGCAUUUAUUUCACAAGGGGAAAACAGAAAUAUUUUUGGUUAUUCUCUCCCGGAUUAGGAGUAGAAUAUUUUUAGGUGGUUCUGGAGAUGGAAUGGGUGGAUAUAUGUGGAUGGUACUUCCGGAGUAGAAGUAGCAUAUAUGAGUGAACGUGCAAGUGAAAUCUUGAUUUAACCACAUGACAAGCUCCUAAGGGUCUACACAGCUUGACCACACUCAAUGCUCAUAAGCAGUAAAUAGUAAAUGUGUGGCUCAAAGUCUAGCAAGCAUGUAUAUAUGGCUGUGGUAGGAAUUUAAACUCUCAUCAUACAGGAACUCAUCAUGCAACAUUUUAAAGAUUUUCAAGAUAAAAUUCUCCAGAAUUCUAGCAUCUCUAGGAACAGAUAAACAGCAGCUCAGCCUUCCCAUAUCUUAUCCGUUAACAACUUAGACUUUUUCAUCCCACAAGUUUAGGUCUAGAGCAAGCUUUAAAUUAUAACUGUUAUAUCUAAACUUGAGAGAGAACUUAAAAUUUGCAAAUUAGGCAGAGCAACUAUUUAUCAUAUCCAAGCUUAAGUUUUAUUUAGAUACAAAUUAGCAUAGACACUUUAUUUAUUUAUUAAACACACUAAGCAAAAGAUAUAUAUAAGCAUAAAAUCUUUAUUUGGUUUUUCCAUAGUUUAUGUGUAUUUUAAUAUUCUAAAAUAAUGUAAGUAUAAAGAUAGAUAGAAAUACUUAUCGAGAUAAAUGGGGGUGCUCUCCCCCAAGCUGAAUUUUGACGUAAUUUCUCUUGAUGUAGCUAACAGGUGGUAGAGGUGUAUUUGAAAGUCAGCAGCAUUCUGACAGCGAUUAGAAUGUCCUCCGUCUGCUAGUCUUCUUGAUUCUUAAAUUCUGUGGAGCUCAAAUAGACAACAAAGCUUGUGGAACUGAUUAAGUGUUAGCAUAAAUAUUUAGCCUUUAUUAUCUUGAGACUCCUUAAUAAAUAUUACUCCCUGUUUUUAUAUUUUUUGUUUUUAUAAAGCAGAAAAAUAUUUAUUUUAUUUUUAUGCCACCACAGUGAAUGUACGUAUGGGUUUUAUGCCACUCGUAUACUCACAUGAGGCUUACUGUUUUUCAUAUUUUUAUUUUUUUUUAAGACAGUAUAAACAUGAUUAACUAAGUAAACUAUUUGAAAUAAUUGGAAGGGAAAGGGUAACUACCAAGUUUACCUCUUGGCAAGGCGUUCGGUGUUUUUAAGUCCUCCAAACGGGACUCUCCAAUUUCUUAAUCGUCCUGAGGUUCGUUGGGUGGCGUAGUCGGUACUUCCGGCAGUGCCUCCUCUUCUUGUAUAGUUAUCUUCAUUUUCCAUACCUGACUCGGUGCUUCAAUCUCCUCUAGAUAAUUCUGUUUAAACUCAACGUCUUCUGAUCUUACAACUUCUCCUUCAUAGUCUGCCCAUCCAUCCUUGAUGAUCUGCCUCCUCUGGUUGCGGUUGCGUCUCUUUCUGACCUGCUUAGAUUCUUCAACGAUAUAGUUAGGGUCAGUAAAAUAACGGCGUACCUUCUCAGGGGGGAAGUGCAUAUGGACUUCUCCGGUUCCAAUGUAGAUAAUUGCUUUAACGGUGCUGAGGAACGGCCUUCCAAGGAUGAUGGGUGGAUCACACUCGUCUUCUCCCAUGUCAACAACUUGAAAGUCUGUGUAGACAAAAUGAUCGUCUAUUUUGACUGGGACAUCAGAUACUGUUCCUUGAACUUCUCGAAAUGUCUGAUCUGCCAUCUGGAGCUGAAUGUAUGUUGGUCUUAGUGGCAUGGUCCCGAACAAGAGCCGAUAGGUGACUGCGGCCAUUAUGUUGACGCCUGAUCCGGUGUCGCAAAUCGUCUUGUAGAAGUUGUAUCCAUUUAUGGAGCAGUAAAUGCUUGGCAUUCCUGGGUCGUCCUUCUUGGUCAAAAACGGUGACCUCAGUUGGUGAUCUUGGCCUCCAUGGACUACAGUGACCAUCUUAGCUGACUCGGUCCACACUUGUUCCUGUUCCUCCUGUUGGUCCUCUUCCUUGAUCCACGUCUGGAUUGAUUUGGAAUUUGUGUAGUCUUAUUCUUGAAGAAAAAUGUCUCCUUCCUCCCUUUGAUGUAGAAACUGAUCUUGGCAGCACUAGCGUAGAUGAUAGCUCCCGUGGUGUUUAAGAAUGGCCUCCCUAGAAUGAUAGGUGCUCUCUCAUCAUUUCCGGUCUCUACCACUACGAAGUCUGCUGGUGCAUACAAGGUACCAACUCGGACACAAAGGUUCCUCACUAUUCCUUUUGGAAAAGUUAUCGUCUGAUCUGCAAACUGCAAACACAUGGUUGUCUCUAAUAAAGGAUAUGUAAAGAAUUUUUCAUAGAGUACUCUGGGUAUAAUGUUGACACUGGAGCCAAAGUCACAGAGUGCUCCUGGGACGUCCACCAUGCCGAUGGAGAUCGGGAUGACGGGGCGUCCUGGAUCGCCUCUCUUGACCGGCAGAUGGUCAGUAGAGAAUUCAUUGACGGGGUUACUCCAAUUACCUGCAUCAAACAUGUCUACAAGAUUGGCAGAUUCUAAUCCUUCCGGUUGUGAUGGUAUACCGGGGUUAGUAGUAGGAACAACAGCAGCUAUUUGAUUUAACUGAGAUUCAAUCAUUUUAUUAAAGCUAAUUUGAUUCUUGAUGGCAGUAGAGAAAUUAUCCAUUCUAUUAUUUAUAUUUUCUAGUAUUUUAUCAAUAGAUGCCAAUUUCUUAGAUAGGUUAUCCAUUAGCUUUCCUUGAUUAGACACUAACUCUCUCAAAGGUGGAAAAUUGUUAUUGUUGUUGUAAGAAUUGUUACCUUGAUAAUUACCUGAGUAGUUAGGCCUCUGUUGAUUCCAACCUUGAUUUUGUUGAGGACGGAUGUAGUAGUAGUUGUUGUUGUUGAUGUAGUUCACAUCCUCAAGUAUCUCAGGGCAGUGGUUGCCUGAGUGUCCAGUGUCUCCACACUCCUCACAAGUCAUGUGAGAGUCGUAGAUGUACAUAACUUCUUUCUUGUCUCUAGCUCUAUCAUCGAGCUUCUUCAUGAGCAGGUCUAGCUUUGCAGACAGCAUGUCUACCUCCUUCAGCUGAUGCAUACCUCCACCUCUCUUGCGUGUCUGGGUCCUCUAUUCAUUCCAGCUUUGAUUGGACGCCAUCUUCUCCACAAGAGCUGUGGCUUGUGGUAUAGUAAGUGAUAAGAAUGCUCCUCCAGCUGCAGCAUCCAUAGUCUCUCGG